Molecule: ribosomal RNA, 445 nt
Filed under: uncultured bacterium
Lineage: Bacteria
Description: partial 16S ribosomal RNA
Rfam family: Bacterial small subunit ribosomal RNA
Source: RNAcentral
GUGAGGAAUAUUGGACAAUGGGCGCAAGCCUGAUCCAGCCAUGCCGCGUGCAGGAAGACGCAUCUAUGGUGUGUAAACUGCUUUUGUACGGGAAGAAACACUCCCUCGUGAGGGAGCUUGACGGUACCGUAAGAAUAAGGAUCGGCUAACUCCGUGCCAGCAGCCGCGGUAAUACGGAGGAUCCAAGCGUUAUCCGGAAUCAUUGGGAUUACAGGGUCCGUAGGCGGUUUAAUAAGUCAGUGGUGAAAGCCCAUCGCUCAACGAUGGAACGGCCAUUGAUACUGUUAGACUUGAAUUACAAGGAAGUAACUAGAAUAUGUAGUGUAGCGGUGAAAUGCUUAGAUAUUACAUGGAAUACCAAUUGCGAAGGCAGGUUACUACUUGUGGAUUGACGCUGAUGGACGAAAGCGUGGGGAGCGAACAGGAUUAGAUACCCCGGUAGUCC